This is a long non-coding RNA of Sander lucioperca (pikeperch), 2122 nucleotides long. RefSeq lists it as uncharacterized. The record is from RefSeq and is a predicted model, not a curated record. The transcript has 2 exons. NCBI's taxonomy places the organism in Eukaryota, Metazoa, Chordata, Actinopteri, Perciformes, Percidae.
ACAUCUUAAAUGUCUCGUUCUCGCUAGUAAGCAGUUUGUUUAUGCUGCUGUUUUGAUUUAGCUAGCCGGCUAGCUUGUUAGCCAGCUGCCCUCAUCUGUCAAGCCAGCUUUGAUGCUUUCAGUCGGCCAUGUAAUGUAUCUAUUUAAUGGGUAUUCGCUAAGUAUUUAGUAGUGUGCUUGGACAGAAAUGUCCUGGCUGACUCUGUACUGAGCUGGCCGUCAUACAGUUUGUAGCUAACUGCUGCCUUGAUAGUUAGCCGCGAUUUGCUGUGUCUGAAGCGUGGGUUUUGCACGGAUUUUAAGUGUGCAUGUUAAACUCUCUGCAGCUGUGGAAUGAUUAUCAGAAAAUUUGCAUGAUUGUGCAUUAUCACUCAAAGCCUAGCGUCAAUAAUGUGCCAUCAUAAAUCAUGGAUGGUGAAGUGUUUUGGAGCCAAGUCGUGAGCUGCGGCUGCUGUACUGUAGUGCAGGCAUGGAGUGGGAGGGGUGUGACAGGCAGCCGGAGCAGCAGGUUAAACACAGAUUUUCAGCCCCACAGCUGCAGACAGUAGCCUGCCUAUUGUUUAAAUAAACCGGCUCCGAGCUUGCAUUUGCAGCUCUAAAUGCUCGGCGCAUGCACCCGACUACUGCAGUUUAUUCCAUCACAUCAUUCCCCUAUAAAUAGAGCAGAAAAAUACAUCACAUUCACUUUUGGCCGAGACAGCCUAUGGCUAUGAAAAGCACAGUGAUGAGCAGAUUCGACACCAUUGAUGGAUGGAGUGGGUUUGCACCAGCAGUGUGCUCUUGCCUAAUGUGCAAUACACAGUAAUAACUUUUUUUGUCAGGCACCUACUCUGGCACAGUUUGAUUGAUGCUUGAAAAGCAGCUUCUCUGGUGUGAGAAGAACUAUCUAGGGUUGAAACGUUUUGAUCUGCUCUGAAUGAAAAAGCACUUGCUAUUGCCACAGUCAGUUGUAAUUUGUUUUCACAUCUUUUUAUUUUUGGUUCCCUUGUGUCAGUUAAAGUACAUAACCGUCUGAUUGUCAUGGUUAUGAUGAAAUGACAGUUUUGGGUGGUAAACUGACUCUUCUUCCGAACAUAAAUGUGUCAAUAACUGCAGAUGGUGACAAAACAACCACAGCAGAUUUGACACUGUGACAGUGGGAAUGCUGUUUGUGUGUCUGUAUCAAACCACACUGAUUUCAGCAAGACAUAACAUAACACUAGCCAGCCGGUUAAAUGAAAUGACAAUAUAAUGAUAUUGUUAUUACUGCAGCAUCUCCAAUAUUCAGUGGGUGAACUUUGGCAGUGGGCGUGUGGGUGCAGCACACAGGCCUGGUGAUUUGAGGUGUGGGUGGUGGGAAGCCGAUUCAAGGCAUCAAACAGACUUCUCAUCAAAGUCAGGAGUUGGAUGCAUUUUUAAUAGUGCCCUAGCUGUGAUGCUGGAGGAAUUCACUUCCACACACAGUGUCAGUUAGUGUUAGCCUAGACGAUGUACUACGCCACCUGUUUGAUGCUGUUAAUCCCACUGAUGAUUUUUUUUUUUUUUUUUUUAAUGUCAUGUCGGCAAAUAAUUGCCCAAUCAGGUAGUUCAAAGCUUUAAGUGAAAGGGAGCGUUUGUAUUCUGCUGCACUGCUCUUUCACUGAGCCCAUUCAGCAUUAUUAGAGGACACCUUUACAAUAACAAGAGGCUGAUAUUUAUAAAGGACACCGUGUGUUCAUGUAGAAACAUUCCGUCAAAAACUCAACAACUGCAUGUUUUUGUACUUCAUAAGUUCACUUUUUAAAAAAAUGUGAAAUUUUACUACACUCAUCUGAGUUCAUGGAAUUGACAGGCCUCCAGUAGAAAGCUACCUGACUGACUUUCCUUUUUCAAAACUGUAUUCAAAAAUUAUAGGCUACUUUUAGUGUGUUGCAACUGUGUUGAAUAAAAUGUAUUUUAAUUUUAUUUUUUGGAUAUAAAUGAGACUUUUGUUGUUAUUCAUUUAUUUUAUUUAUGGUUUGUUUGAUAGGGACAGAUACAGUAUGCAUAGUCAAAACUGAAAACAGCUAUUCCCCUGCGAGUAUCACAGUGUUUAUAGCAGAUGCUAGUUUGCAACACCCGUCCCUAGAAGGGCUUUUAUGAAACUAUAUGAGAUUAGAACAGU